This 206-nucleotide ribosomal RNA is filed under the name uncultured bacterium. RNAcentral's name for it is "partial 16S ribosomal RNA". It matches the Rfam family "Bacterial small subunit ribosomal RNA", at positions 568 to 774 of the family's 1533-position model. The record is from RNAcentral.
UUCGUAGGCGGUGCGGCAAGUCGGAAGUGAAAUCUCCAGGCUCAACUUGGAGGCUGCUCCCGAAACUGCCGCGCUAGAGUGCGGGAGAGGCCAGUGGAAUUGCAGGUGUAGCGGUGAAAUGCGUAGAUAUCUGCAGGAACACCCGUGGCGAAGGCGGCUGGCUGGACCGCAACUGACGCUGAGGAACGAAAGCUAGGGAGCAAACA